RNAcentral lists this long non-coding RNA (38007 nucleotides) under Nicotiana tabacum (common tobacco). RNAcentral describes it as "long non-coding RNA (NTAB_LNC005062)". Lineage: Eukaryota; Viridiplantae; Streptophyta; Magnoliopsida; Solanales; Solanaceae. The record is from RNAcentral.
GACCUCUGAACGGCUCGAAACUAGCCAAAAGCAACUCAAGAACAUCAAAUAAUGCCAAAGGAACAAACCCAAUCGAUAAAGGCUGAAUCUUUAAACAAAAGCCUAAAGUCAACCAAAAAGUCAAUCCCAUGCUCGCACCUCUGAACCCAACAAAACUCAAUAAAUUCGACAGCGCAUUCAAUUACGAGUCCAACCAUACUAAUUUCAUCAAAUUCUGACUCCGAAUCGAUGCUCAAAACUCGAUUAUUCACUUUAGAAAAGUUUUUGAUAAAAAACCCCCCAAUUCUCCAAUAAAAAUAUGGAUUAAUUCAAAUAUGAACCUCUGUGAUCAUAUUAAAAUACAAAAAUUUUAGUUAGAUACUGACCCCCAUGAAAAGACGAGAAGAACGCCGUGAAAAUCACCUCAAUCGGGGCUCUAGAACUCAAGAUAUGCUCAAAAUACCAAAAGAACACAGUCUGAUUUUAUUUUAUACACAGGGAUUUUCGCUUUUGCGACAAAAACUCCGCACCUGCACAUUUCCAGCUGUCAUAUUUGCUUUUGUGGACCACAUUUCGCAGCGGACCUAACUUCGCAUAUGCGAAGCACUAGCACCAGCUCUCUUCUCCGACAUUAAAAUGAGCAUAACUCCCUCAUACGAUGUCCAAAUUCGACGAUUCUUUUUGCUAUGGUUCCAUAAUUUCGAUACGGAUCUAAUGCUUCAAUCAAAACAGAAAUUGGAGCUCAUUUGAUUAAAGUUGUACCAUUUAUGCUUGAAAAAACAACGUUGAAACAUAAAAAACGAGCGCAACACAACCCAAACCUAUUCGAAACUCACCCGAGCCCCACGGGACCCCGUACGAACAUACCCAAAAGUCUCAUAUCAUAACACAGAUGUAUUCGAGGUCUCAAAUCACGCAUAAAAAUAUCAAAACCAUGAAUCGCAUCUCAAAUCGAACUUAAUGAACUUUUGAACUUUCAACUUCCAAAACUCGUGCCGAACCAUAUCAAAUCAACUCGGAAUGACCUCAAAUAUUGCACAAAAGUCCCAAAUGACAUAACGAAGCUAUUCCAAUUCCCAGAACCAUAAUCUGAACCCGAUAUCAUUAAAGUCAACUCCCGGUCAAACUUAUGAAUAUUCCAAACCUUCAAAUUUCCAAAUUUCGUCAAAUAUUGCCGAAAUCUUUUAGAAAUAUCCAAAUGCAAAUUCGGGCAUAUGCCCAAGUCCAAAAUUACCAUCCAGACCUAACAAAACCAUCAAAACUCCGAUCCGAGGUCAAAUACUCAAAAGUCAAGCUUGGUCAACGCUUCCAACUUAAAGCUUCAAACACAAAAUUCAUUCUUCCAAACUAAUUUCGAAUCACCCGAAAACCGAAACCGUCGAUGCACAAAAGUCAUAAUACAUCAUACGGAGCUACUCAUGCUCUCAAAUUACCGAGCAAAGUGUAAAAUGCUUAAAUAACCGAUCGGGUCGUUACAUUUUGCAUGUAUGAUAGGUUGUUGAAUACAUUCAUAAUGUGAUUUGUGAUUGAUAUAUAUCCAACUAGUUAAAUUAGACAUACACAUAAAAUAAGAAAAAAAUUAUUUCAUCUUUCAUGAAAAGUAAAUAGAUAAUGUCAUAAUUGUACUAUCAUGCAUCUCAAAAUAAUUUAUUUACAAGUCAUCCUUGAUUAUUUCAUUUCGAGUGGGCAUGGUUGUAAAAUAUAGCUCGAUUGUCGUAUUUUUGACAUUUAGAUCUUGUGCUCAUUUAGGCUUGACCCGAAUGAUUUGGUUUUUGAUUAUUUACUAUUAUUAGUUUUUCUAUAAAAAUGUUUUCCUUUAUGUAUGAUACAUUUCAUAUACAAUAAUCAUUCUUUAUUCAUUAAACCAAUUCUUUCAGUUCAUUCAUUAGACACUAAGAUUAUUUAGGGAUAGUCCUUUGAGGGUAGCUCUUCUCUACUCUUGGCAAAUUAUUUCGGAUUGAGCUUUCUUUUAGUCAUUCACUCAAAAUAGUUAACCUUUGUACGUAAAUUAAAUUCUUUCAAAGUGUAUUCUUUAGAUAGUACUCAUUUGGCCAAUUUACAAAUAUUUUAAUCAUCAUUACAUAUUCUCUUAUACUUUCAUUGCUUUAGCAAAUUCUUAUACUUAUCCAUUCAUUUUAAAAUAAAACUCUUUCAUAUUUUAUUUAUUAAGUUAAAAGUGCGAGAUAUAGUGUUCGUACAUACUUUAACCUUUUCUUAUAUUGUUUAUUACCUUUUAUUAAAUUUUAUAUUUUAGUCAAAUGCAUGCAUUAUUCCCAUCUUACUUAACUUAUUCUUUUGAAGUAUUAAAUUGUAUUCUUCAUACCUUGUGAACCAAUCUUAAAAAAUGAGAGUCAUUUUAUAUAUUUUAUUAUUUACUUUCUACUACGCAUGUGUAUAAAUAUAAAUAUGUUUUUAUUAUUCUUUGCCAUAAUUAAUUCUCUUUUAGUUAAUCUAUUUUCAUAAUUUUUUUGUGAGUAUUGAAUUCACUCUCUUUUACCUCAUUCAUUACAUAAAAGCUAUUCAAAGAUAAUUCUUUUUCUCACUUUUGAUUAAUAAUUUUUAGACAAGUUUUCUUUCAAUAGUUGAUCUUGAUCUAAACUAAACUCUUUCAAGAUUAUUCUUUUAAUUCAAAGUCAUUUGGUUAAUUUUGUAAAUACUUUACUUGUUGAUACACUCUUUCAUAUUUUGCUUAGUCAUUAAAAAUCUAACUUUUCAUGUACUUUCUUUAUUCACACCCUUGCAUAUAUUCUGUUGCACAUAAAUAUUACUAUUUUACCAUGUGAUUUUCACCUUCAAAAGUUCUUCACUCCAAAUCAUGUUGACAAUCUUUUAUAAAUAUUAAAUUUAUCGGUCUUUACCUAAUCCCUCAUUUAUUUGACUGAGUCCACCGGAACCACAUUUUGUGAGGAUGACUAACACCUUCCCCUCGAGAUAAUUUGAAUCCUUACCUAGAAUCUCAAUGGUUGUGCAGGUCAUAGUUAAAGUGUAUAUUACAUAGUAUAGUAUAGGUGUCCUAGUAUAUCUUAAAUACUAUGUGACGACUCUAAACAAUAGUUAACCUUGUAGAGUGCUAUAAGUUGUACAUUAUUUUGACUUGUGCAAAAUAGGGUGCAACAACAUGGCGACUCUGCUGGAGAUACUUCAGGUCUAACCACAACGAAUUUGAUCAAUUAGUUGAGGGAUUACAGGUUCUCUAAUACUCCAAUUUCUAUUCUUUCUGUCACAUGCUUCAAGUCGUAUAUUCUCUGCUUCAUGUUGCAUUCUCUUUGUUUCAAGCUGUAUAUUCCUUGCUUUAAGUUGUAUAUUCUUUGCUUCAAGUUGUAUAUUUAUCGUCGCAUACUUCAAGUAGUCUAUUCUUUGUCAUGUGCUUCAAGUGGUAUAAUCUUUCUCAAACGCUUCAAGCGGCAUAUCCUUUGUCUUGUUCAUGUUGUAUGUACUUCCCACAUGUCUAUGUUGUAUAUAAUGUUACAUACUUGUGUUGUAUGUUCUUUGCCACAUGCUUAUGGCACUGCCUUAUUAAACUAUCAUCACUUUUCUAUCGACUCUUGGUCGUGCACAAUCAUACACAAGUCACGCGAGGAUUGUCUUUUCAUCCCUCCGAACCUUCUUUCAAAAAUCUCUAGCAUACGAGGUUAACUACGUACCUUCUCGCAGUUGGCCUAAACUCAUGCUCGAGUCUAGGUAAAUCUACUCUAGAAUCCCUAGGUCACUGUACACACAAUCUUGCAGCUUACUUUAGCUGGAUUAAUCCUUGCAUAUCAUUUACUUGCUACAUAUUCUUUGUAUAUUCUUUGCCUGCCAUUGUUAUGUAUCCUUUAUUUGUUAUAUGUACAUUCUAUUUGUUAUCCACUAUAGGUUCUCUUCGUCUAACUAAACUCUGGUUGACUUGUGUUGAACCUUGACAUUUUAAAUAUACAUGCCCAUUCCGGUCUUUAUGACCAUCCCCAUAACCAUAUCAUCAUCCAGAUUCUACCAUCCUUCUCAAAGAUACGUCAAUCCAGCUUGGUGCAUCUUCCACUGAUUUGACAUAUCCUUCUCAAUCAUACCUCACACUUUCAAUGACUUCCAUCAUUUAAGAUAGAUGCAUGCACUAUGCUACUAUCUAUCUCGUAUUCGACAGUUACCAGUCUCAAACCACCUAAUGAUUCUCAUUCAUAAUUAUAUUCCAUCACAACGAACAAUCAUUCAUUCGUCACAACCAUACAAAUCUCAUAAGUCCAGUAGUUGGCCGAACUAAGUUUUGACCUGAUUCUUGCCCUAGCAAGAUACGUAGGCAACCCUACAUAAGGGUUCGGUCUCCCCACUAUUUCAAAUUAAUUUUCUCAGUACUGAAAACUGGGGAAGUUCUUUGGAACAGUGUGAUGAUGCUCUCAACCCAGAAAUCUCUGAGAUCGUCACCAAAUUUCACCAAAAAUCCAAACAUCAAAAUACGAUACCAACCUUACUCUGACCUUUACUCGACUUAAAUCCCAACAUAUGGGAUACAAGUCAUGUCCUCAAACACCUGGCUAUGGAGUCACGGUGAUCACUCCCACUUUCCAAAUUCAGAGAUUUGAUACAAGUCAACCCGCUUUUGUUGCAGAGGCAGGCUGUUAGUCAGCUUUCGAGGAGUGUCAUGCUCGCACGAUUCAUACAGAUAAGGAAGGACAAGAAAAGCCUCGAGUCAACACAAAACGAUUCGCCUCCCUGAAAUCUAAGAACGUUUCUUUGGAUGCAGAAAGGACAUCAUCUCCGGAACUAUCAUGGAAUGCCGACAUCGCGUUACCGAUCACAAUCUAAUACACCACUGGCUGCACGGCCUAACUCUACACCCUCUCAAUUCUGUAAUAUUGUUCUAGAGGGACUCUAACAUUUUUUCCUCUAAGUUUUGCAGGUACAUUAUCCCGGACACUUCACGGGAGAUAACAUCUGGUCUCGGACUUGGUGGAACAUCAGUCAGAUAGUCAUGGGAGUAGUAGUUUUACAAUAAACUCCAUCAUUUCUCAUGAUUUCGCUGCUCUCACCACUUUCUAUAUUCAGAUCAGAACAUCAUUCUCGAUUAUCAACCGAGGAUGAUCAUUAAAUGGUUCAUGUGGACAGCCGAAAGGUGCAUCAUCCUGGGACUACACAGGAAAUAGCAUCUGACAUCGGGCAUUGUGGAACAUCAACCAAACAAGCAGGAGAGAGUUAGUUAUAAUUCUUAAUUCCAUCAUUUUAUGAUGGCACUACUCUCACAAUAUUUCUGUAUCUUGAUCAGAUUAUCGUCCCCGGCUUAUUUAGCUGGGGACGAUAACCAAAAGGUUCCUAUGGACAGCUGGAAGGUCGCAGCAAAACAUCCCUACAGUCAAUUGGAAGACAACCACAACAACUGUCUCGCAAACUGUUAGUGGGCACCGAAGCAACAGUUUGAAGGAGCAACUGGGGCAUAUCUUCUGGAUGAGCCACUCUUCAAUGCCAGGAUACCACACCCAAUCAUGGGUACAACUAGGCAUCACUCCGAGUUUGUCUAUACCCUUGCAUUUCGUACAUAUCUCUGAUGCCAUUAAUAUUUUUAGCUGCAAUUCUUUGAAAUAAGAGAGUAAAAGAGGUGUUGAAAACCAUACAUCUCAUACUUUCACCCUUUAUGAACUACGCGUACCUCAAGAUACGUAAGCAACCUAUAAUAGGUCCGAUUUUCCUCGUCCUUAGUUGGGCGAGUCAGUCAAGUCUGGCCACUUGGGUCACAGUUGACCGAUGAUCUUUGUAAAAAGAUCAUUUCCAAAAAGUCAAAAAAAUAAACAUAUAUAUCUUCCUCUGUUGCUUAAACAGAAGUCUCCCCAUGAGACAUCAACAUCAAAAUCCAAAAAUUAUCCUCUUUCCUUGAGGAAAUUCAAAAUCCAAAACAUCUUCCUCAUACUCUCCACCUUUCCCGAACUACGCCUAGCCUGAUUCACGUUUCGUCAAGAUACGUAGGCAACUUUCAGGUUCGGUCACAUUUUUCAAAAAAUAAAAAAAUCAAUCAAGGACCCUUCUUGGGUUCGAUCUCAUCUUUCAAAAAAUAAAAAAAAUACUCCCAUUAUGCUGAGAUUUUUCAAUUUCUGUCACUCCCAUUGCGUGGAAAUUUUACAUUUCAGCCACUCCCAUCAUGUGAAGAUUUUUAAUUCUGUCACUCCCAUUACGUGGAGAUUUUACUUUCCUGUUUAUGCUCUGAUAUCACAUCGGAAUGGUACACAACCUUUCAAAGCUCCGAUAUCGCAUCGUAACGGUGCACAGCCCAUCAAAUUUUAUAUUCAUGUCAAUGCUCCGGCAUUGCAUCGGAACGGUACACAUCUCGUCAAAGCUUUGAUAUCGCAUAGGAAUGGUACACAGCCAGUCAAAUUUUACAUUUCUGUCAAUGCUCUGAUAUCGCAUCGGAACGAUAUAUAGCCCGUAAAAGCUCCGGUAUCGCAUCAGAAUGGUACACUGCCCGUCAAAGCUCCGAUAUCGCAUCAGAACGGUACACAACCUGUCAAAUUUUACAUUCCUAUUAAUACUCCAAUAUCGCAUCGGAACAAUACAUAGCCCGUCAAAGCUCUGAUAUCGUAUCGGAAUGGUACACAAACCGUCAAAGCUCUGAUAUCGCAUCGGAACAGUACAGAGCCCGUCAAAGCUCCGAUAUCGCAUUGGAACAGUACACUGCCCGUCAAAUUCUAUAUUCCUAUUAAUGCUCCGAUAUCGCAUUCGAACGGUACACAGCCCGUCAAAGCUCUGAUAUCUUAUCGGAACGGUACACAACCCGUCAAAUUUUACAUACCUGUCAAUGCUCCGAUAUCACCUAAGAACAGUACACAACCCGUCAAAGCUUCGAUAUCGCAUCGGAACGGUACACUGCCCGUCAAAUUUUACAUUCCUGUCAAUGCUCCAAAUCUCUUCGAAACGGUACAUAACCCGUCAAAGCUCCGAUAUUACAUUGGAAUGGUACACAACCCAUCAAAUUUACAUUCCUGUCAAUGCUCCGAUAUCGCAUCGGAACAGUGUAUAGCCCAUCAAAGUUUCGAAUCACAUCGGAACGGUACACGGCCCGUCAAAUUUUAUAUUCUUGUCAAUGCUCCGAUAUCGCAUCAGAACGACACACAGCCCGUCAUUUUACUUUCCUGUCCAUGCUCCGAUAUCACUUUGGAAUGGUACAUAGCCCGUCAUUUAACUUUCUUAUCGAUGCUUCGAUAUCACUUCGGAAUAGUAACUACGAAGCCCGUCUAACAUUCAAUGCUCCAAUAUCACUUCGGAACGGUAACAAAGCCCGUCCAACCUUCUGUGCUCCAAUAUCGCUUCAGAACUGUAACCACAAAGCCCGUUUUACAUAGGGUCGGGCAUUUAUUUUACUUACUAUAUUGAGAGAUUUGAAUCAGUAUAAGCAGGUAAGUAAAUCUCUAGAUCAUUUUUGACUCCCAGUUACUAUCAGUUAUCAUAUUAUCAGUUCAGUUUCAGUUUUCAGUUAUUUUAUUUUCUUAUAUACUCGGUACAUUAUUUCGUACUAACAUUCCUUUUCUAGGGGAGCUGCAUUUCAUGUGUGCAGAGACAGACGGGUUAGACCUCCUCAGUAGGUGCUGCCCAAGUCCAAUCUGAUCGAGUAGCUCACGUCCUCUGAGUGCGGCUAGCAGGUUGCUGUANNNNNNNNNNNNNNNNNNNNNNNNNGCAUCGGAACAGUGUAUACGCCCAUCAAAGUUUCGAAUCACAUCGGAACGGUACACGACCCGUCAAAUUUUAUAUUCUUGUCAAUGCUCCGAUAUCGCAUCAGAACGACACACAGCCCGUCAUUUUACUUUCCUGUCCAUGCUCCGAUAUCACUUUGGAAUGGUACAUAGCCCGUCAUUUAACUUUCUUAUCGAUGCUUCGAUAUCACUUCGGAAUAGUAACUACGAAGCCCGUCUAACAUUCAAUGCUCCAAUAUCACUUCGGAACGGUAACAAAGCCCGUCCAACCUUCUGUGCUCCAAUAUCGCUUCAGAACUGUAACCACAAAGCCCGUUUUACAUUCAAUUCUCUUUAACAAAACAAAAAAAAAAUUCUCUUAUUCAAAAUUCAAAAAAUAAAAUGAAAUAAAAAUCUAAAAAUAUUUUCUUUCUACCCUUCCUUAACUACGCUUGACUUGAUUCUCAUUUCAGCGAGAUACGUAGGCAACCUUCGGGUUCGGUCUCAUAUUUAAAAAAAACAAAAUUCAAAAAAUAUCAAUAACAAUAAAAAAAAUCAAGCGAGGACCUCUCUUGCGUUUGAUUCUAUUUAUCAGGAAAAAAUAUUAUUAAGUCAAAAUCCAAGUAAAUGAAGAAAUGCAAGAUGUGUCAGAACUAUGGCAAGCAGGAACAUGGAAUGAGCAUCUCAUUGAUCAAAGUGUACCUGAAGACAUUGUAGCACACAUCAAACUAAAUGUCCACUAUGAGGGCACUGAGGGAUUAUGGGACACUCCACUAUGGAUGCCAACAACGUCAGAAAAGUUUACUGUUAGUAGUGCUUGGCAAAUCCUUAGACCUCGAACAACUCUAUUCCAGAGUACAAAAACAUGUGGAUUAAAGGAUUGCCAUUUAAGAUAUCAUUUUUCUUGUGGAGGUUAUGGAGACAUAAACUACCUAUAGAUGACCUAUGGAGAAGGCAAGGAUAUAUAUACAUGUAUCAAAAUGCCGGUGCUGCCAAAGGCCACAGGAGGAGACCUUUGAACACAUAUUCCUAACUAGUCCUACUGCAUACAGAGUUUGGAAGACUUUCUUGGGGGCAACAGGGAUUACAGUAUCAAUGGUGCAAGUGAAACAAGGGCUUGGUGGAAUGCUAAGUGUUGUCCAAGAUUAAAACUUUUAUUUCAAGCUGCACCAGCAAUCAUCACAUGGUAAUUAUGGAAGAAGAGAAAUAAUGGCAAUAACGGGGGAUCGGUAUCUACUAAUAGGGUCAUUCAUGAAGUUAACAAGACUCUUCACUUCUUGGUAAGAUUUAGGUACUCAUGGCUAUCAAAUAUACCUGUGUUAUGGACUGAUAUGAUCCAGUUCUUUGAAGAAUAUAAACCAAUUCUGAUCACUGGAAAAGUCACAUGGCAAGUGCCUCAUGAAGGGUGGUAUAAAUGUAACACUGAUGGUGCAUCAAAGAGGAAUCCUGGACAUAGUUCACUUGGUUUUUGUGUGAGAGAUGAUGCGGGUGAUUUCAUUUUUGCAAGAGCAGCGGACAUAGGGUUAACUACCAAUGUUAUAACAGAGGCAAAGGCAAUAAUAACGGGACUGGAAUACUGUGUUAAAAGCAGUCUCCAACCUCUCAUAUUGGAGACUGAUUCAUUGCUUUUAAAGAAGGUGAUUGAGGGGCAAUGGGAUCCACCAUGGUGCAUAGGGACAAAAGUGCAGAAGAUGAAGGGAAUAAAGAAUCAUUACAAUGUGGUCUUCCAACAUGUGUUCAGAGAGGGCAAUACGGUUGCAGAUUUUAUAGCUAACAUUGUGUUCCCUUUUGCAUGUACUACACAAUUUAACAACUUCUGUGAAUUACCUAGGGCCGGAAGAAGACUGAUCAACAUGGACAAAUAUCAAAUUCCAAAUCAAAGAGUUAGGAUAGCCAAAAGAAAACCACCUGACUGAUGGAAAACAAUCUUAACAAAAUGACAAAUGCUUCAACAAGUGGAUUUACUUUCUGUUGCUGUAUUUUACUACGACAUCUACCAGUGGUAUUAGCAUGUUAUCAUGCUAAUUCUGGUGGUGUCCUUGUGAGAUAUGUAACAGAUCUGAUAAGCAAAUGGUUAACCUAUUGUCAUUCAAGAUCAUCAUGUUCUAUGGGAUCCGGCUGUUUAACUACAUCAUUACAUAGGAUUAAUUUACCAGGAGAUGUUACAGCACUCUUCAGUGGUAUUGGCAUGUCUAAUUCACAAUUCUGGAAGUGUAAUGACAGAUCAUGCAUUUGGGGCUGCAACAUGGGUUUCGCUUGGAAUUCUGGGAAGCAAAUGGAGUUGAUCUACAACAUGGAAAUGACUGGAUACAACUCAAUAACAUCGAAUGUCCUAAAUAACAUAUGCACUACACGCUGUUGUAUCAGUUCCUAUUGGUAUUAUCAAUGAGCGAUGAUUAUUCUGGGAAUGGUAUUUCAACAGAUAGGAAUGUGCUGGACAAUUGCUUAUCCAUCAAGUAAUACACUAAUUGUGCAAACAUGUUCUGGUGUAUAUUUUUAGCUGCAGAACCUGGUUUCAAUUUAAUAGGCUUCUGAUGAUGCAGAAUUUUAAAAUAUUCUUCUUCCUGAGCCUUACACAAUUCAGCAGCUUCUACGCUACAGAUUUAACGACACUCUCAUUGUUGUGGUGUGGCAAAAUUGUAUUUAAUCAUGCCUUCUACUUUACAGAGCAAAAUUUGGCGCCUGGUGAGAGAUUUGUUGGUGCUACUUCGGAGUUUUUGCAAGAGGUGUGUAGAUACAUAUGGUACAAUGACAACAAGAGAUCUUUUAAGUCUGGAAUAAAUAGUAUAAUACUACGCAACAUUACGCAUGUAAUACGUAGACUUCAUAUUGUCUUUAUUUGCUAUUCUUGUAAGACUGUGACCGAUUUGGGAAUUUAUAAUAUUAUAUUCAGGUACUAGGCAACAUGCCUAGUACAAUAUUUUCUUAAAAAAAAACAAUUCAAAAAGGGGAACAAUCCUCGGGUUUUGUCACGACCCAAAACCCGUAAUAUGUCGCGAUGACACCUAACGCCGCCGUUAGGCAAGCCCACAAGUGAAUCUCCAAUUUAUUUAUCCUUUUUUAACUUUUAAAACAGAAGUUUCCUUUUUAAAAAGAACGAAACAAGUAAGAUCUCAUGCAACCGUACAUGCUCUUUUCUAAAAAAAAAAAAAUACCAGCUUGAGAAAUACAUCAACCGUAGUGAUAGUAAUGAUAAGCACUACAGUACAUAAAUGCUAGAAGCUCCCAAAAUCCGGUGCCACAAGUGCAUGAGCAAUCUAGAGAAAAAAUAAAACUAAUACAACUACUGUCUGAAGGGUAAUAAACAAAAAUAAUAAACAAGGUAGAGGGAGACUCCGGUGCUGCAAAUCAAAGCAAGGCAAGCAGCUCACCACUAAAUCUCCGUAGAAGUGCGGCUACGCGCCCCGUGUGACCACUGGUAGUACCUGUCUCACUGCCUACACAUUCAGUGCAGAAGCGUAGCGUGAGUAUGUAAAACAACGCGUACCCAAUAAGUAUCUAGUCUAACCUCGAAGAAGUAGUGACGAGGGGUCGACUUGACACUUACUAGUGGUCAAACAGUAAUAGAAAUACAUAAAGUAGACAUGGAUAAUGUACAACAAGUGGCAACGAAACAAAUAAAAGAAAUUACAGUAAUUCCCCACAUGAGUCUAUAUCAAAUCGCUACACAUGCCAUAACCGACCUUGAAGGCGCUGACUCAACAGUUACGCACCCAAAUCCAGUCUCAAGUAUUAAGCACGAAGCUGCUGAGGCGAACGGCCCAAUCCCAUAGGAAUAGUGGUACUCAAUACUGGUGAGGCGAACGGCCCGAUCCCAUAAGAAUAGUAUUACCAUACUGCCGAUGUGAACGACCUGAUCUCAUAGAGUAAUUUAAUACACUGCCGAGGCAAACAGCCUCUUCCCACACUAUUGGAAAAUUCACCUAUGGCUAUCGCAUGGAAAACCGUUGCAACAGAUAGGUAAACCAUUGCCAUAGAGGUAUUGCAACAGUUCAGCGCCUGUUCCACAAGCUCGCGUGCCUAUAGAGCUUAAGGAACAGUUUUUGGAGCGGUUCAGAUAACCGUUGCUAUAGUAUAGUCUAUCAUAACGAUUUUCCCUUUUCCUGUUGGAAUGAUUAUUCUUAUCAACUGCAACGGUUGAAUUCCGUUACCAUAACAUUUAAUGCAACUGUAAAUAAUCGUUACUAUAUCUAUUAAAUCGUUACGGCUAUUAUAGAAAUGGCAACGAUUUCUUUAAGAUAUUGCAACGGUUGAACUACCUAUUGUAAUAGAGAUUAUUUUGGAACAGUUUGCAGGUCCUAUGGCAACGGUUCUGUUAGCUAUUGUAACAGUUUAAUUGAAUUGAAAAUAUUGCCCUUGUUGUAAAUAAAGAUUUACAUAUAUAUACAAUAAACUUUAAUACACUAAAAUUUAUAUAAAUGACAAAAUGAAACUAUUCAUAAUCCAAAUUUUUCAACAAGCUAAUAAAUCCAUAGAAGUGAUGAAAUGUUACCAAGUACAUACAUUUGAUAUUUCAAGAGUUAAAAGUUUUAAAAUGUUGAUAACAAACAUUCCUAGAAACCGCCACAUACAUCUAUAUCAAUUCAAAAUUCUCUUAAGUAGGUCUAGAUCUUCAUCACUGCCUCUGUCUUUCAUAUUUUCAUCUACUCCACCUACAAAAGAGUAUAAAUAAAGUCAUUAUCCCUUCAAGAGAAUCCGAUCUAAAAAUCCUCUUAGUCCAAAAAACCAAGGGUAAAAAAGAAGUAUAAAAUUCUGCAUUAAACCCCAAAAUUGGAUGGCAAAAUAUUGGUUUAUCCCAUAAUAUAUGGACAAAGAUAUUCUGGAGAUCAAGGCAUCAGCAACACAUAAAAAGAUACUCCUAAGAAUACAAAAUUCCAAAAAACAGUUCACAAAAAGUACAAAAAGACACACGUACUCUACCACACGCCAAUUAAUGAGGCAAAUAACUAAAUCAACUUAACAAGUAAUUUAGAACUUAACUUAAUAGAUCAACGAAGAGGAAAGAUAGUAAAGAUUACAUGUUUCAUUAGGAAAGAACCAAGAAUCUCCUAGAGACAUAUUCAGAACCCAUCUCUUGACUGUUCAACGCUACUUGUUAGAUUCUAAACAACAACAUAUAUAGCUAAAAAGUCUGUGCAUUGUCUCUUCUCCUCUAUGAUUAACCUUUUAUAAUCAAAGUGUAGUUUAAAGUUUUGAUCUUGGACCUUUCUUCAAACACAACUAUAGAAAUCAGCUUCCUAAAGCUGUUGUAAAAUGCAGCAAAACAGCUAUAAAAAUCACCCUAAAAUACAGCAAAACAGAUGCAAAUAUCGCCCAAAAAUACAGCAAAAGAACUAUAGAAAUCAGCUUCCUAAAGCUGCUACAAAAUACAGUAAAACAGCUGCAAAAAUCACCCAAAUAUGCAGCAAAACAGCUAUAGAAAUCAGCUUCCUAAAGCUGCUGUAAAAUGCAGCAAAACAGCUACAAAAAUCACCCAAAAAUGUAGCAAAACAGCUAUAGAAAUCAGCUUCCUAAAGCUGCUGCAAAAUACAGCAAAACAGCUGAAAAAAUCACCCAAAAAUGUAGCAAAACAGCUAUAGAAAUCAGCUUCCUAAAGCUGCUGCAAAAUGCAGCAAAACAGCUGCAAAAAUCACCCAAAAAUGCAGCAAAACAGCUAUAGAAAUUAGCUUCCUAAAGCUGCUGCAAAAUGCAGCAAAACAGUUGCAAAAAUCACCCAAAUAUGCAGUAAAAUAGCUAUAGAAAUCAGCUUCCUAAAGCUGCUGCAAAAUACAACAAAACAGCUGCAAAAAUCACCCAAAAAUGCAGCAAAACAGAUGCAAAUAUUGCCCAAAUAUGCAGCAAAACAGCUAUAGAAAUCACCUUCUCAAAGCUUCUGUAAAAUUCAGCAAUUCUCCUUCCGAAACCAACCCAAAAAUACGGCAAAACCCAGCAGAAAAGCCAGCUGAAAACCAGCGUGAACCCCAUCUCCAAUCGACCCCGAAACAACUCCAAAACUCAGCCAAAACUCCCUUAAAAUGACUUCACAAACAACCCCUCUUUCUCCACUAUAAAUAUCUCUUAAAACUAGUAAAACAUUGCCAGAAAGAGAGAGAGCAAAAGAGCGCACAGUGGUAGAGAAGCAACAUAAAAAAAGAGGAGAAGAAGAGGAAAGAGAAGACGUGUAACAUUUUGUACGGACUAACAUUGAUUGUUACUACCAGCAGAUGGAUGAUUGAUUGGUUGAAUAGCAGGUUGUUGUGCAGAAGAAGCUUCUCCAGGUGCACGAGCACUGAAUAUUAGCAUGUCAGGAUCAAGUCUCAAAUCGGGGUUGAGACAUUGAAGUCGUGUAAUGACGUUCAUCAUAAUAUCUUGUUCCAUAGCUUCCUUUUCUGCAUUGAACUUUUCCAGCAUUAUUUGUUGCAUCCUCUCUUCCAUUUUCUCCAUUUUUUUAAGAUAGUCUUGUUAACUCCUCGUCCAUACCAUCUUACCCGACCUGGGUGCUCAGGUCCCAUGACUGAUGCAAACGCGUCAACUAAAUCACCGUCAUCUUCACUUUCUUGAGUUGAUUGUAUUCUCUCCAUUUCAGCCUACAAACCAAAUGUAAGAAAAAAGAGUUUAAGUAAAUAAAAUUAAGUCAAUAAUUAAGAAUAAAUAAAUAAUCACGACAAACUUUAAAUUAGAAAUUUCUUACAAUUUUACUAAUUGUAUUCUCAUAAGAGCCUUUGUAUACUCGAUCGAGGUUUUUUUUUUUUUGUAGCCACAAAGAUUUCCUUACUUGAUAAAUUAUCCGAAGUAUCAGCCAUUUCCUUUUUUUUUUCUUAGUCACAUGAAAACUGGUAUAAGAAUCUUUUCAUGCAAAGUUAGCAAGUUCAUAUUUUAAGAAAAAUAAGAGAAAAAAUCAAGCCUCGAUGAUUAGAUCAAAACUUGUUUUGCCAGCAGUGUGUGGAUGCUUCAACUUUUUUCGAUUCUCGAUAUUGGUUUCGGACGUUUUCUGCAAAUAAACAAGCAAUUAGUGUCAGCUAUUAUUUUUGGAAAGCUUUAAACAGCAUAUUUUUCUAAUAGAUUUCAAUAUCUCUGAAAUAUUGAUUCAUGGUUGAUAUUGGACAACUAAUCAGCCAAUUGUUCAGGAAGUUUGUGGUGUUUCCAUUCUUUUUAGAGUGUAAUCCGAGGUCCACAUACGUAUAAUCCAAAUGAAUUUAAGCUUUAUCACUGUAAUUAACACAUUCUUAUGUAACUUUACCAAUCACAAUAUAAAAAUUUUAAUAAAAUCUAAGCAGAAACUUUCAGCAGACAUUCAUAGUGAAUAAAAUCGAUGCAGAAACUUUCUAUCACUUGAGUGUGGCUUCUUAUGGCUUGGAUGGUUAUGAUUGUCUCGGACGUGUGGCAUGCAUUUAUGAGAAAUCUCACACAUGAGAAAAUUAGGCUCAUUUAUGAAGUUCUAUCUUAUUACUUAUGUAUAUUUUCUUAUGCAUAUAUAGGUCAUGUACAGUGCUUACAUGCACAGGAAGAGGACAAGCAACCAUGAAGCAUGUUAAAAUGUCAAAGUCACUUGAAGAUUCUUGUGGUAAAGGUACUUAAACCACGUGGAAUGUUUGUGGUUCAAGCAGUAUCUUGUGCUCUAAGGUGUGGGCGAGUAAUUGUGAAUAUAUGUUUCUGUGAGAUACAUUGAUGGUGGAAGUAGCACUAUAGCCAAUGACUUCUUCUUUGAUAUAUCAGGAAAGGUGUUGAGGUUAAUAUCUGGGGUCUAAACCACUGUGCUAAAGUCUGGACUGCAAAAUCUGUGAGUUUCACCAUCAUUCUCUUUUAGCAUUUUUGGGUGCAACAAAAUAUUGACUGCUCUUAGGUAUACUUCACAAGAAUUUUGACGUGUUGCGUUUUUAUUCCAGCCUGCAAAAAACAGCCUCGAUGUAUUCACCCCAACUUGUUACAUCUGCAACUUUCUUGUGCAAAGAUGAUUUUACUUUCUUGUGCAUCUGAAGUUCCUUUGGUUUACUUCUCUUGGACAUUAUUCUUGUCUUUAUGAUAAAUUAACUCAUCAAACCAGAAAUAACAUUUACCCCUCACGUUAUGAUUCAAAUAUCUAGACAUUCAAGCACCUUAACUUGAACAGUUCUUUAUGCUAUCACUUUUUUAUUAAAGAAGCAUCUUUCUGGUUCAACCUCCAUCAAACAGAUGCUAAAGUUGCACAGAAUAAAUUAUCAUGCUUAAUUAGCAAUAGUGAACAUGGGCCUUAAUUCACAUUUUAUAAAAGAAGCAUAUUUAUUAAUCUAUAGUCUAAAGAUUAUAGCCAACUGCCAGCGAUAUUUGAGUGUCAGCUUGACUUUUUCCUUCUAAUUUUUUAAAGUGAGACUCCGGAACAAAGUUGGCAAAAGUUGGAUGUAAUUACCUUGGCGGGAUCGGAGUUUCAAUAUUCAAGAAGAUCUUUUAAGGGAUCGGAGUUUCAAUAUUCAAGAAGAUCUUUUAAGUGAGACGCCGGAACAUCUAUCGGCCUAUUCUCCAUUCGAAGCUCGUCAUUCUCAUAGGCUUCAAAGUGCUUUUUCUUCAACUAACUUUUAUACUUUCUCCAAGCAGUACAAAUUGAAUAAAAAAUCCAUUGCUUUGCCUCUUCAGAAAUGUCAUAUUUUUCCUACAAAUUUAGUACAAAUAGGUUAGUAUAAGAAAAUGUGAAAUAUCAUCCACGCUUAUUGAACAUUAGGAACUUCAAACUUGACAUAUUUUCAAAUAUCAUUUUUUGUAUCUAGUUUCCUCCAAUCAAAUACAUUAAGAGGACAAAAGGUCCCAUUCCUUCCCAAUGUGCCGAGGAAGCUACCCAACUCUUUUACAACUUCAUCAGUAGGACCAAUAGGUUGAUUUAACUCAUUUAGCACGAUUAUUUUAUGGUCCUUCCUUCCGUGAACACUUUGCAUUUGAGUAGGGCCUCUUUUUCUUUUUUGGCGUGGAAGGGCCUGCACUAAUACAAAACAAGGAUAAUCACCAAUCACUACUGUUAGUUAAUUUUAUGCUUAAAAUUUAUAUAUACUUGCAUGGUUCCUCAGAUUGUUCAAUUACUUCAUGAUUGGUAGAAUCUUCAGAUGGUUCAUGCACAGCUUGUGAUGUAGGAGUGAUGGAAUCCAUUGGCACUUGCCGCACUUGUUCUUGUACUCCUUGUGUUGUAGAAGAGGUAGAAAUCAAUGACACUUGCCGCACGUUUUCUUGCAAUUGAGAUCUUUUUGCAUGAAAGUUUCUUUCAGAUUUGGGAAAACUCUAAAGGAUUAGCACGCCGCCUCCGGUGCGGCCGAUUAUGGAGGAGUUGUUGAGCCUGGAGGAGUUGUUGAUCCUGGAGGAGAUUGUCGAUCGUCUCCUCGUAAUUUUCGAAAGCAUAGAGGUGUUGAGCCUGGAGGAGAAUGUUAAAGAUCUAGUAUGACUUGUACGCUAAAAUUAGGGAUUUACAUAUUUGAUAUUUUAUUAGAUAUAAAAAUUAAAAAAUAAAAAUAAAAAAUUAAAUUGUGGGCCCCUUUUAUUUUAGCGGGUAGAAAAUUUGGGUGAAAAAUAAGGAGGGAACUAAUGACUAUCGCAAUAGCAAAAACAAUUUAUCCAACUAUUACCAUAGAUAGAUUUAUUGCUACGGUUAUACAAAACGUUGCCAUAUAUAACUCUAUUGGAACGAUUUUAAAACUAUUGCAACGGUUCGGUUGCUAAGUGUCCCGGUAGUUCCAAUAAUUAUUUGUAACGGUUAAAACCGUAACAAUACACCAUCUAUAGCAACAGUUACUGAUUCGUGGCAAUAAAAAAUGUUGCCAUAGCUCCAAUUUCUAGUAGUUCCAUAAGAGUAAAGAAAGUUACCUCGCUCGCAGAAGUACAUGCGAGUCGAGAAGAUACAGAACCAUAGUUCAUCAAAUAUUUCCUAAUUUUUUCAAAAUAAGAGGCUAAAUCAGUAUUUUUACUCUAAUCCUCAAUCUCAGUCAAAAUCAAGGAAAUCAAUACACGGGACGAAAUAUCAUCACCUUGUGCGUACAUAGCUCCCCACAACAAGUAGCACACAAUAAUUAAUACACCUAAGAGGAUAAAUUCUCUCUUACAAGGUUAGACAAGAGACUUACCUCACUUUUCUGUCCACUAACAGGCUCUUUAACCUCACUAAAACUCCCCAAACUAAGCCGAGCAAUCCGAAGCUAAUAAAAAGUCGUAUAAACUAAUCGAUAAGUGUUCAAAAGUUCAUAAUUUAACUACUAGAGUAAUUACCCAACCCAAUUUGGAAGGUUCCUAAAAUUCACCUCCGGGCCCACAUGCCCGGAUUCUAAAAAAUUUCGUAAAUAAAUAUCACCCAUAACCUCAUGAAUACAAAUAUAUAAUUUCUACUCAAUUUCAUAAUCAUUUUCAUGGUCUAAUCCUAUUUUUAUCAAUACCUAAGCUUUUCAACAAACUCCUAAAAUUUCCAUAUUUUUACAUGUUAAAAUCUAUCCAUAAUAUAUGUAUUUAACUUACAUUAAGUAGGACUCACUCACCUUAUAAUGCUUGAUGAAACACCCCCCUCCAAGAAGCUCCAAAUUCGGCCAACACAAUGAGAAAUGAGAAAAAUAAGCCUAAGUCCCGACUUUAAAAUGUUUUCUCGCCUAGUGAUUCCUUCUUCGUGAUCGCGAUAGGGAACUCGCAAUCGCAAAGGCAAAAUGCUAAGCCCAAGAAAAAUGUCCUUCGCGAACGCGAGACUCGCCUCGUGAAAGCGAAGGCUUAGUUGACUUACCCAUUGUGAACGCGACGCCCUCAACGCGAACGCAAAGGCCAUUGACUAACCCCCUCCCCAGCUGGCCUUACACUUCGUGAACGUGAAGUACUGAACGCAAAAGCGAAGGCCAGUGGUCCAGAGCAUCACGAACGUUGUUCCCCUCUCACGAACGUGUAGGAAAAAAUCGCACCCAGGCUCAUUCCUUCUUCGCGAGUGCGACUCCUUCUCCGCGUUUGCGAAGAAGGAAUCCAGAACAUCAAUUUCUGCAGUUUUUGACUUAGCUCCGGGCGGUCCGAAACACACCCAAGCCAUCCGGGACCCCGUCCAAUUUCACAAACAAGUACAUAAAUAUAAUACGGACCCGCUUGAAACCUCGGAACACAUAGAAAAAUAUCAAAACCAAGAAUCGCAUCCCAAAACCAAAUCAAUCAACUUAUGAACUUCAAACUUCUUCAACUAGCUCUGAAUGCGUCGAAUCAUACACAGACAACUUGGAAUGACGCCAAAUUUUGCUUACAAGUCAUAGAUCACAAUACGGAUCUAUUUCCAGGCUCGAAAUCCCAAACAGACCUCGAUUACACAAAAGUAUACCUCAAACCAAAUUUAAAGAACUUGAAAACCUUUAAUGAGCCAACUUUCAACAUUAAGCGCUGAAAUGCUCCCGGGUAUCCCAAAACUCAAUCCGAAGAUACGCCCAAGUCCAAAAUCAUCAUACGAACUUAUUGGAACCAUCAAAUCCUGGUUCAGAGGUUGUUUACUCAAAAUGUUGACUCAAGUUAAACCUGGUCAUCUUAGGCCACUAUUAAGGAAUUUAGUGUUUCGAUUUUAGCCCGAACCCUUCCAAACCCGAACCAACCAUCCCCGCAAGUCAUAAAACAAUAAAAGCGCAUACGAGAAGUCUUAAUUAGGGGAACGGGGAUCUAAAAAGCAAAGAGACCGGUCAGGUCGUUACAUUCUCCAUCUCUUAAACAAAUGUUCAUCCUCGAACGGGUCUAGAAUCAUACCUGGAGUGUUGAAUAGGUGUGGAUAUCUGCUCCACAUGUCUUCCUCAGCCUCCUAAGUCACCGCCUCGACUGGUUGACCCCUCCACUGGACCUUUACCGCAGAAAUCUUCUUGGACCUCAACUAGCAAACCUGCCUGUCAACAAUGGCAACUGGCUCCUUCUCAUAACCCAAACUCUCAUCUAGCUGGGAGCAUAGAUACAUGGAAGACCGUAUGAACUCUUGAUAGACUGGGAAGUAAAGCAAGCUCAUAAGCAACCUCCCCAACUCGCCUCAACACCUCAAAUAGGCCGAUAAACCUCGGACUUAGCUUGCCCUUCUUUCCGAACCUCAUUAUACCCUUCAUCCACGAGACAUUCAAGAGAACCUUCUCGCUACCAUAAAUGAUAAAUCACGUGCCUUCUGAUCCGCGUAACUCUUCUGCCUGGACUGUGGCAUGCGAAGUCACUCCUGAAUUAACUUUACCUUCUCCAAGGCAUCCUUCACUAAAUCCGUGCCAUAUAACCUAUCCUCGCCAGGCUCAAACCAUCCGAUGGGCGAACGACAGUGCCGACCAUAUAAAACCUCAAAUGGAGCCAUCUCGAUGCUGGACUGAUAACUGUCGUUAUAAACAAACUCGGCCAAGGGCAAGAAUCUAUCCCACUGCCCUCCGAAGUCAAUAACACAUCUUCUGAGCAUAUCCUCUAGAAUCUGAACUGUCCGCUCUGACUGCCCGACGGUCUGUGGAUGAAACACUGUACUAAGCUCUACUCGGGUACCCAACUCGCUCUGUACUACUCUCCAUUAAUGCGAAGUGAAUUGAGGGCCUCUAUCUGAAAUGAUAGAAAUAGGCACACCAUGCAACCGGACAAUCUCCUGAAUGUAAAUCUAGGCCAACCUCUCUGAAGAGUAAGUAGUCACCACCGGAAUAAAGUGUGCUGACUUGGUCAUCCUAUCGACAAUGACCCAAACGGCAUCAAAAUUCCUCAAUGUCCGCAGUAACCCAACUUCAAAGUCCAUAGUGAUGGGCUCCCACUUCUACUCCGGUAUAAUCAUCUGCUGGAGUAGGUCACUUGGCCUCAAGUGCUCAUACUUAACCUGCUGGCAAUUUAGAGAUCUCGCUACAUAGUCAACUAUGUCCUUCUUUAUCCGUCGCCACCAAUAAUGCCGACUAAGGUCACGAUACAUCUUCGUAGCACCUAGAUGAAUAGAAUACCGAGAUCUGUGUGCCUCCUCUAGAUUCUUCUCCCUCAAGCCAUCAACAUUAGGAACACAUAGGCGACCCUGGAGUCUCAGAACACUAUCCUUACCGAUAGUAACCUCCUUGGCACCACCCUGUAGUACCAUCUCUCUAAGAACCAGCAAGUGCAGAUCAUCGUAUUGACGAGCCUUGAUCCGCUUAAGUAAAAAGGACUGAGCCACGACACAUGCAAGAACUCGAAUGGGCUCUGAAAUAUCCAACCUCACAAGUCUGUUAGCUAAGGACUGAAUGUCCAAAGCCAAUGGCAUCUCCUCUGCUAAAAUGGAUUCCAAACAACCCAUACUCUCGGCCUUUUUGCUCAAGNNNNNNNNNNNNNNNNNNNNNNNNNNNNNNNNNNNNNNNNNNNNNNNNNNNNNNNNNNNNNNNNNNNNNNNNNNNNNNNNNNNNNNNNNNNNNNNNNNNNNNNNNNNNNNNNNNNNNNNNNNNNNNNNNNNNNNNNNNNNNNNNNNNNNNNNNNNNNNNNNNNNNNNNNNNNNNNNNNNNNNNNNNNNNNNNNNNNNNNNNNNNNNNNNNNNNNNNNNNNNNNNNNNNNNNNNNNNNNNNNNNNNNNNNNNNNNNNNNNNNNNNNNNNNNNNNNNNNNNNNNNNNNNNNNNNNNNNNNNNNNNNNNNNNNNNNNNNNNNNNNNNNNNNNNNNNNNNNNNNNNNNNNNNNNNNNNNNNNNNNNNNNNNNNNNNNNNNNNNNNNNNNNNNNNNNNNNNNNNNNNNNNNNNNNNNNNNNNNNNNNNNNNNNNNNNNNNNNNNNNNNNNNNNNNNNNNNNNNNNNNNNNNNNNNNNNNNNNNNNNNNNNNNNNNNNNNNNNNNNNCUCUCUAAGAACCAGCAAGUGCAGAUCAUCGUAUUGACGAGCCUUGAUCCGCUUAGUAAAAAGGACUGAGCCACGACACAUGCAAGAACUCGAAUGGGCUCUGAAAUAUCCAACCUCACAAGUCUGUUAGCUAAGGACUGAAUGUCCAAAGCCAAUGGCAUCUCCUCUGCUAAAAUGAAUUCCAAACAACCCAUACUCUCGGCCUUUUUGCUCAAGGCAUCCGCAACCACAUUCGCCUUGCCCGGGUGGUAAAGGAUAGUAAUAUCAUAGUCCUUCAGUAACUCAAGCCACCUGCAUUGCCUCAAAUUUAGGUCCCUCUGCUUAAACAAAUGCUGCAAACUGCGGUGAUCGGUGUAAACCUGACAGUACACCGUAUAAAGAUAAUGCCUCAAGAUCUUGAGAGCAUGAACUAUCGCGGCCAACUCCAAAUCAUGUACUGGGAAAUUCUUCUCGUCAGCGUCGCAAUACAUGUUAUACAUCCCUGAACCGGAGGGAAACACGAAUACCAGUGUUGUAGUCAAAACGGUCUUGAGCUUCUGAAAAAUCGCCUUACAAUCAUCGGACCAUCUGAACGGAGAACUCUUCUGGGUCAAUCUAGUCAAAGGUGCUGCAAUAGACGAGAAACCCUCCACGAACCGACGAUAAUAACCUACUAACCCCAAGAAACUCCUUAUCUCAAUCGCUAUGGUAGGAUGAGGCCAACCCUGGACUGCCUCGAUCUUCCUGGGGUCCACCAUAAUACCCUCAUAUAGUACAACAUGCCCCAAGAAAGACGUGGAAUCCAACCAGAACUCACACUUGGAGAACUUAUCAUAUAGCAUUUCUUCCCGCAAGGUCUGAAGCACUAGUAUCAAAUGUUGCUCGUGCCCCCAUACUGCGCAAGUAUAUCAAUAUGUCAUUAAUGAAGACAAUGACAAAUGAGUCGAGAUGCAUCCUAAACACCUGAUCCAUCAAAUCCAUAAAUGUCGCCGGGCCAUUAGUCAAGCCGAAGGACAUCACUAAAAACUCAUAGUGCCAUAUUUGGUCUGGAAAGCCGUCUUCGGAACAUCCGAAGCACGAAUCUUCAGCUGAUGUUACCCAGACCUCAAGUCGAUCUUAGAGAACACCCUGACACCCUGUAAUUGGUCAAACAAGUCAUCAAUCCGCGAUAAUGGGUCCUUAUUCUUUAUGGUGACUUUGUUCAACUGGCAGUAAUCAAUGCACAUCCGCGUACUCCCAUCCUUCUUUUUCACAAAUAACAUUGGUGCGUCCUAAGGCGACACACUGGGUCUAAUGAACCCCUUCUCAAGCAACUCUUGAAGCUGCUCUUUUAACUCCCUCAGCUCCUUGGGAGCCAUACGAUAAGGCGAAGUAGAAAUAGGCGGGUUACCUGGCACCAAAUCAAUGCCGAAAUUGAUAUCCUGAUCUGGCGGCAUACCUGGUAGAUCAGCAGGAAAUACAUCGAAAAACUCUCAUACCACCGGCACUGAAUCUAACGCGGGAGUCUAUGCAGUAGUAUCUCGAACAAAGGCCAAAUAGACCAAACAACCCUUCUCGACCAUAUGUCGAGCCUUCAAGAAAGAAAUAACCCAGCUGGAAGUACUAACAGACGACCCCUCCACUCUAAUCUAGGCAACUCAGGCAUCAACAAUGUGACACUCUUGGCAUAGUAAUCAAGGAUGGCAUGGUACGGAGACAAUCGGUCCAUGCCUAGGAUAACCUCAAAAUCAUCUAUAUCGAGCAGUAGAAUAUCCGCUCUGGUCUCAUAACCACAGAAAGUCACCACACAGGAUUGGUAGACCCGAUCCACAACAACAGAAUCACCCACUAGCAUGGACACAUAUACAGGAACGCCCAGGGACUCGCGAGAUACAUCCAGAUAAGGAACAAAUAGAGAAGAAAAAUAGGAAUAAGUAGAUCCAGUAUCAAAUAAUACCGAUGCAUCCCUACGUCAGAUAGAAAUAGUACUUGUGAUCACUGCAUGGGAGGCGACUACCUCUGGCCUGGCGGGAAAAGCAUAGAAUCUAGCUGGAGCGCCACCUGACUAGCCUCUACCUCCAGGGAGACCCCUAAAAACAUGCCCUCAGCCUCAGGCCGGGCGGGCGGGCGGUGUGGUAGCUGGUGCGGUAAUCAUGGUCCGAUGGUCCUGCUGCUUGGCCUUGCCCCGAAAUCUGGAACAAAACCUCUUCAUCUGGCCAAACUCCCCGCACUCAAAACAACCCCUCGGAGCAUUAGACUGUUGACCUGAAGUCUGACCCUGAUGGUCUGAAUACCCACUAGAGGAAUCCUAAAUAGCUGGCAGACGUAAGUACUCUCUACAAUAGCACUGAAGUAGGGUCGUGCUAGAGCACUCCGAGCAGGCGGUGGUGCCGACUGCAUGGGCCUGCUAGACUGGCCCCUCAUAAACUUACCUCUGCCCCCAGGUAGGGCGCCACUGAAUCCACCAAACUACCAGGGCCGCUUGUCCCUCGGUGCAAACUCUUCGCUCCGGUUGCGGAUACGCUCGAUCCUCCGAUAUAUAUCCACAACCUGCUGAAAGGGAGUCCCCAUCUCUGCCUCACGGGCCAUAGAAACCUAAAUAUUAGGGUGCAGACCUGCAAUGAACCUCCCCACCCUCUAUGUGUCUGUGGGGAGUAUAAUAGCUGCAUGGCGAGACAAGUCAGUGAAUCUCGCCUCAUAGUCAAUCACAUAUAUAUGACCAUGACGGAGUCGCUCAAACUGACCCCGAAGCUCCUCUAUCUCCGAAGGUGGUAUGUACUUCUCUAAGAACAGAUGUGCAAACCGAUCCAAAGUUAAGGGAGGUGAACCUAGUAGCCUGCUAAAGAGGUAAGCUUUCCACCAUCUGCAGGCCUUUCCCUCAAGAUGAAAGGUGGUGAAGUCCACCCUGUUGGACUCCAAUAUCCCCAUGUUACAUAGCCUAUCCUUGCAUCGUCGGUCAAUGAAAUCCUGCGGGUUCUCUGACCGCUCGCCCCCAAAGUUAGGGGGAUGAAGCCUAGUCCAUCUGUCCAACCACUUCUGCUAAUCAACGGUCACGAUUGGUAUAGACUUUGGCAUAACCGCUGCAACUGACUGGGCCACACCCGUAGGUAGUGCACCUGGGGUCUGAUAAACGGCAGCAACAUGCCCUGGACCCUGAGUGGUAGGGGUAUGUGCUCCCCCUCCCACCUGAGAUAUGGCUGAGUCUGCUAGAAAUAAACCAGUCGGCGUCAUAGAGUCCAUGAACCACAGCAUACGACCCAUAACCUCUUGAAAUCCUGGUGCAAUCAUGAAAUCUGUCGGGGCAGGCUCAGCUGCAGGCGCCUCAUCCUUCUCCUCAAUAAUAGGAUCCACCACUAGAUCCACUGGUGGUACACUGUGAGCAACUCUAGGACGCCCUCGUCCUCUGAUAAGAGCUGGAGCCCUCCCCCAGCCUCUGCCUCGACCUCUAGCAAUGGGGGGAGCAACCCCCUACCGCCUGGUACAUCUGCCGCGUGCGUUCUCACCAUCUGUGAGAGAUUAAUAGAAAGAUACUUAGCACAAUAUCAACUGUACGAUAGGAGAUAAAGAAAGAUAGGUUUCCUAACACCCUGUAGCCUCUCGAAGAUGAGUACGUAUGUCUCCCCACCGACCCAUAAGACUCUACUAGGCAUGCUCAUGACUCGUGAGACCUAUGUGAACCUAAAGAUCUGAUACCAAGCUGUCACGACCCAAAACCCGUAAUAGGUCACGAUGGCACCUAACACCGUCAUUAGGCAAGCCCACAAGUGAACCUCAAAUUUAGUUAUCCCUUUUUAACUUUUAAAACAAAAUUUUCCUUUUUAAAAGAAUGAAACAAGCAAGAUCUCAUGCAACCGUACAUACUCUUUUCUCAAAAGAAUACCAGCAUGAGAAAUACAUCAACCAUAGUGAUAGUAAUGAUAAGCACUACAGUGCAUAAAUGCUAGAAGCCCCCAAAACCCGGUGCUGCAAGUGCAUAAGCAAGGUAGAGAAUAUACAAAACUAAUACAACUACUGUCUGAAGGGUAAUAAACAGAAAUAAUAAACAAGGUAGAGGGAGACUCAGGUGCUGCAGAUUGAAGCAAGGCAAGCGGCUCACCACUAAGUCUCCGUAGAAGUACGGCUAUCGCCCGUGUGAUCACUGGUAGUACUUGUCUGAGUACCUGCACAUUCAAUGCAGAAGUGUAGCGUGAGUACGUAAAACAACGCGUACCCAGUAAGUAUCUAGUCUAACCUCAAAGAAGUGGCGACGAGGAGUUGACUUGACACUUACUAGUGGUCAAACAGUAAUAGAAAUACAUAAAUUAAACAUGGAAAAUGUACAAAAAAGUGGCAACGAAACAAAUAAAAGAAAUUAUAGUAAUUCCCCAAAUGAGUCCAUAUCAAAUCACUAUACAUGUCAUAACCGGGCUUGAAGGUGCUAACUCAACUGUUACCCACCCAAAUCCAGUCUCAAGUAUUAAUCAAGAAGUUGCAGAGGCGAACGACCCGAUCCCAUAGGAAUAGUGGUACUCAGUACUGCCGAAGCGAACGACCCGAUCCCUUAAGAAUAGUGUUACCAUACUACAGAGGCGAACGACCCAAUCCCAUAAGAGUAAUUUAAUACACUGCCGAGGCGAACAAACCAAUCCCAUAAGAGUAGAGAAAUUUACCUCGCUCGUGGAAGUACAUGCGAGUCGAGAAGAUACAGAACCAUAGUUCAUCACAUAUUUCCCAGUUUUUCCAAAAUAAGAGGCCAAAUCAGUAUCUUUAUUCUAAUCCUCAAUCUCAGUCAUAAUCAAGGAAAUAAAUACACAUGAUAGAUAAAAAUAGCACAAUUAAGGCAUAAUGUGAAUCUAAGUCUACCCGGACAUAACAUGAAUAUAACUACGUACGGACUCUCGUCACCUCGUGCGUACGUAGCUCCUCAUAACAAGUAGCACACAACAAUUAAUACACCUAAGGGGAUAAAUUCCCUCUUACAAGGUCAUGCAAGAGACUUACCUCACUUUCCAGUCAACUAACCGGCUCUUUAACCUCACUCGAACUCCCCAAAUGAAGCCAAGCAAUGCGAAGCUAAUCAAAAGUCGUAUAAACUAAUCAAUAAGUGCUCAAAAUUUCAUAAUUUAACCACUAGAGUAAUUACCCAACCCAAUUUGAAAGGUUCCUAAAAUUCACCCCUAGGCCCACGCUCCCGGAUUCAGUAAACUUUCGUAAAUAAAUAUCACUCAUAACCUCACGAAUACAAACAUAUAAUUUUUACUCAAUUCCAUAAUCAUUUUCGUGGUCUAAUCCCAUUUUUAUCAAAACAUAGGGUUUUCAACAAACUCCUAAAAUUUCCUCAUUUUUACAUGUUAAAAUCUACCCAUAAUCUAUGUAUUUAACUUACAUUAAGUAGGAAUCACUCACUUUAUAGUGCCUGAUGAACCCCCCCCCCCCCCUCCAAGAAGCUCCAAAGUCGGCCAACACAAUGAGAAAUGAGAAUAAUAAGCCUAAGUCCCGACAUUAAAAUUUUCUGCCUAGUGAUUCCUUCUUCGCGAUCGCGAUAGGGCACCCGCGAUCGCGAAAUGCCAAGCCCAGGAAAAAUGCCCUUUGCGAAUGUGAGACCAACCUAGCGAACGCGAAGGCUUGGCGGACCUACCCAUCGCGAACGUGACGGCCUCAACAUGAACGCGAAGGCCAUCGACUGACCCCCUCCCCAGCUAGCAUCACACUUCGCGAACGUGAAGGCCAGUGGCCCAGAGCAUCACAAAUGCGGUCCCCCUCUCGUGAACGCGUAAGGCAAAAUGCCACCCAGCCCCAUUCCUUCUUCGCGAACGCGACUCCUUCUCCGCGUUUACGAAGAAGGAAACUAGAACAGCAAUUUCUACAGUUUUUGACUUAGCUCCGGGCGGUCAGAAACAUACCCAAGCUACCCGGUACCCCGUCCAAUUGCACAAACACGUCCAUAAACAUAAUACGGGCCUGCUCGAAACAUUGGAACACAUAAAAAAAAUCGAAACCAAGAAUCGCACCCCAAACCAAAUCAAUCAACUUAUGAACUUCAAACUUCUUCAACUAGCUCUGAAACGUCGAAUCAUAUUUAGGCAACUCGGAAUGACGCCAAAUUUUAUGUACAAGCAAACUAUCACCAUACGGAUCUAUUCCAAGUCUUGGAGUCCCAAACGGCCCUUGAUUACACCAAAGUCUGCUUCAAACCAAAUUUAAAGAACUUGAAAACCUUCAAUGCGCCAACUUUCAACAUUAAGCGCUGAAACGCUCCCGGGUCACCCGAAACUCAAUUCGAAGACACGCCUAAGUCAAAAAUCAUCAUACGAACCUGUUGGAACCAUCAAUUCUAGUUCCGAGGUCAUUUAAUCAAAAUGUUGACUCAAGUCAAACUUGGCCAUCUUAGGCAACUAUUAAGGAUAUCAGUGUUCCGAUUUCAACCCAAACCCUUCCAAACCCGAACCAACCAUCCCCGCAAGUCAUAAAAGAGUAAAAGCACAUACGAAAAGUCUUUAUUAGGGGAACGUGGAUCUAAAAAGCAAAAUGCCAGUCUGGUCGUUACAAGUUUUGUCCCGUAUAUCAAAAAGAAAUUAUCAAAAUAUUGACUUGGUUAGUACCAACAUAGUUAGGAGUGUGCAUGGGAAAGAACAUGUUAAUUUGUAUGAUGGAGAGGGUCAUCUUCAUGGUAAACCAUAGAUUCCUAUGGUAACUCUUAAUUAUACCUUAGUGACUCUGGAAAAAAUCUCAUUUUUACAAUCAGGGUAAGAACAAAGCCAACCUCAUCGUUUCAUGUGCAUUAUGUGGUGAGCCAAGAUUGAAAUUCAUUGCAGUGCAUUGUAGAUCAAGAACUUGGCCCGAAUCUCUGUUGAGGCAAAAUCCUGAGUAACGGUUGGUUUAGGAAAGCAUUAUAGGCCUUCUUUGUCCCGUUUUGAGCCUUUCGAGCCCAUCAAAUGACAUUAAUCCCUAGCAUUCCCCCUUUGAGCCUUAAGCCUUUUCUUGGACAAUCAAAUCUUAGCCCAUACCCUUUCCUGUGCUAAAUGCACUACCCCUCUCUUGGCCUAACCUUCUUGCGCGCACUGAAAACAUGUAACUUCGGACGAAGACCAAAAUGAAGGCGACAAACAUGAAAAGGUGAAAGAUGAAAAUUCCAAGGCAAUCAAACACAUGACUUCAAGAAUAGAAGGAGGAAACUCCACAAAUUCAAAAGGAGGAUCUAACGAGAAGUAGAAAACUUUCGCAAAUUCGGAGGAAACAAAAGAAAAACAGGAAAAAAAAGGAGAAAAAGAGGAAAACUCCACAUUAAAGAGGAGAAAACUCCACAAAUUCAAAGAAGGGAAACCCCAACAAAAGAAGGGAAAACUACCUCAACAGAAAAAGAAAGGAGAAAACCUCCAAGAAACGGAAUGACUUCAAGAAAAGAAGGAGGAAACUCCGCAAAUUCAAAAGGAGGAUCUAACGAGAAGGAGAAAACUUCUACAAAUUUGGAGGAAACAAAAGAAAAAAAAGAGAAAAAAAAGGGGAAAACUCCACAAAUGCAAAGAGGGAAAACCCCAACAAAAGAAGGGAAAACUACCUCAAAAGAAAAUGAAAGGAGAAAACUUCCAAAAAAAGGAAGAAGAAUCUCCUACAAGCUCAAAAGAAGUCGAAGCAAACAAAGGGACUUCGAGCCAAACAAGAUCCCGAAGCAUGGUUUGAACGCCGAAGACACGGAUACAGUGCAAUGCUCAAGGAGCGAUUAGUCAUUUUCGUCCCAAAUGAAUACUACCCAUCCCCAAGCUUACAUUACAAGCCAAUAGAAAAGCCCUACAUGAUCCUAUUCCAAAUGUUCUCACAUUAGUAGAUACCCACAUAAAAGUCAAGCAUAUGGUAUCUCAAUCGCAUGCAUUGAAUAUCUUUCUAAGCGUGAGUGUACUUCUCAAAAUGUCCUUAAAAAAACAUAAAUACUUCAUAAAUGUGUGAAAAUUAGAACUUUCUUGUGGGGAGGGAACUUGAAGCAUGAGUUACUCGGAAUUUAAAACCUUUGUUUGAAGCAACCAAAAAAUCUUGUCGAUACUUAGGUAUACUUGAGAUACCACUUGAAGCUAUAGGAAUUACCCAUAAGCCAAUCUCAGUUUGCUGGAAAGUAUAUGGUGGAGAUUCUUAUGCACAAAACUAUUUCUUGGAACCAACCAAAGUCAAGAUAAAAAUAUGAUCGAUCAAUAAAAUCGCAGUCUUUCUUUACAAUGUUCUCUACAAAAAAGCUACAAAAUAACAAAAAAUACAGAAAACAAAAAGAAUCAAGUUUUGUUGACAGUAGAGUUAGGUUUUGUCGUAACAGAACUACGUCUGAUCUGACUUCCCACAGGGGGAUACGUAGGCAACCCACGUAGGGUCCGGUCCCAUUCUUGUAAUAGAAAAUCAAAAAUAUCAUUUAUAUACGUUCGAAACUAUGCCGCGACUUGAUUUUCUUUGGUAGGAAUGCAUAGGCAAUCCACAUCGGAUUCAGUCAUCUUUUGCAAUCAAACUAAAUUUUGGCUUGAUUCCAUUCGGAUACGUAGGCACUCUAAGUUAGACUCGGCAUAUCAUUUAAAAAUUAUAUCAUUUUGCAUCAGUUGCAAUUGAAGGCCUGAUUCCAUUUGGAUACGUAGGAUGCCCGAGUCAUUAAUAACAGAACCUUGUUCAUCAACCUNNNNNNNNNNNNNNNNNNNNNNNNNCAAAUUUUACAGGUACCCACCUUCUAAUAUGAGUAUCUUAGAUUUAAACGCACUGAUAUCGCUUCGGACCGGUACAUAGCCCGAAUUUCUUUUUACCUUCAAGUGCUCCGAUAUCGCUUUGGACUGGUACACAACCGAGAUUUUCUUCAAUAAUCCAAGUGCUCCGAUCACUUCGGACAGGUACACAGCCCAGAUUUCCUUCAAAAAUCCAAAAUGCUCAGAUAUCGCUUCUGACCGAUAUCUAGCCUGGAUCUCUUUCGAAUUAGAUUUCCAACAUGGGACCCUAUUUUAUUCAACAAUCACAUAUCCAUCUUCGCAAGCCAAACAUAAUCAUAGUCCACACAUCGUCAACUUUGCUGAUCAAAGACGCGACACAAUGUGGAAUUAUCUUCUAUCAAUAAACUGUGGAAGAUUUUGAGGACGAACGUCGAGCUUUCCAAUAGAAUCAAUAACAUGUCCCCAAGAAUCAUUCAUACGUCCCAUUGACAUGGGAUGGUCAAAAUAAAACACCCAGUGUCAUCACAGCUUGACGCUGGGGCAACUUUCAAAAUCAAAACAAAAUUAAAUCACCUCAUCGCUUUCUUGAACUACAAUCGGCCUGAUUCUCAUUAUAUCCGAGAUAUGUAGGAAAACUCAACACAAAGCCCGGCCGCAUCCACUUCAAAGUCCAUUCAAUCAAUCCAUCCAAUAUCCACAUCCACGUCCCAGUGUUAUCAAAGUCCAACAUUGCGGUAAUCUUGGAAGCAAUGUCGAGAUCACACAAACCUUUUCGUCCUCGAACAAUUGUCUUCCACUGCAUGAGGCUACAAUUCAUAAGUAGCACUCAAAUGCAUUUCAGAACUACACGCGACCUGAUUCUUGUGUAACCCGAGAAAUGUAGGCAACUCAGAUACUAGAGUUCGGUCACAAUCUUCAAUACCUCCUCAUUUCCCACUCUGUUAUGUCGGGUCAAAUUGAGUAUGAUGUCAAUUUCUUUACUCGGAGACUCUUACAUCAUCUUCGGUCAAAGAGGGGCAGUUGUUGUUACUCAAUUUUGAUCCUCCGUAUUUAAAAAUUAACUUCAGCACACUUCCUAGUAAAAAUGACAAAAAUGUAGUUUUUUGCACAUUAUAUAGCUUUAAUGCAAUUUACUGAUAAUUAUUCAUAUUUUUACAAGAUAUGGGAAUUUUUAUCAUUUUAUUGCAAAUAGUUAAAUACUACCAUUUUUGUAAUUCUAAAUUUUAAGCAAUUUAUUGACUUGUCAUAUUUUUCAAAUAUUGGGAUAUUCUAUCAAUUUAUUAUCUUUUCAAAAAAUAAAUAAUAAUUACUACAAUAUUAUUAUAGUAGUCGACAUUUAAUAAAUACUACGCGUAAUAAUUUUGUUAAAUAAUUAUUUUCUAAUUUAUAGCACAAUCUAGACUUUUCUUUUGUUUUGACCACAUAUUUUCUAUCAUUUUACAUUUAUCUUUUACUAAAAAAGAGGACCACAUAUUUAGUUUACACAUUUUUAUUUUAUAUUUUUAUUAGUUAAAUUUUGUCUAAAUAAGAGGGCAAAACCCUAAAACUCUAACUCUCCCCUCUCAUUCUUACACCCUCUCAAUCGCACACCCCAAAAAAUCUCUCGUUCUCUCUUCUUUGAGAGACAUAGCCAGCUCCAGUCCCCUCUUAGGCCGCCACAUCCUUCUCCGGCGAGCUGGCUGGCUGAUGGCCAUGCCCACGUUCCCACAACCCUCUAUCUCCUCUCCAAUAGCAAUAAACGGCAAGCAACAGAGAAGUGCAGAUCUGGCCGGAGAAAGAACAAACUCUGGCAACCACCACUGGUUGGAGUAGCGAGCCCAACGACCUCCCCUCUCUCAUACUCUGUUCUUCUCCCUUUUCUCACCCUUUGCACCACGGUCACGCCGCCGCCGGAGGUGAUGACCGGCCUGGUGGCAACCUCCCAUAUUCGGCUCGACCAUCUGUCAUGACCCAUAAUCCAACUAGUCGUGAUGGAACCUAACCCAACCCGUUACGUAAGCCAACUAACAAUGAGCCAGUUCAAAUGAUAUUUAUUAAGAGAAGGAAUGAUUAUACAACUAAACUAUUAUACAAAGAAUUCCCAAGGACUGGUAGUACAAAUCAUGAGCUUCUAAGAUAUGGAGUUUACAAAGCAGGUUUGAAAUAAAAUACACCAUCUGUUUGAAAUAUACAUGAACAGAUCUGUAAUACUAAAGCUACCAAGAUCAAGACGUAGCUAUGACUGGAAUGCAGGUACAUCUUCAGAUCCAGCUCCCGCUGUACAUAGCUACAUCAGCAUCCGACAUCUGCACGCAAGGUGUAGAAGUGUAGUAUGAGUACAACCGACUCCAUGUACUCAAUAAGUAACAAACCUAACCUUAGGGUGAAAGUAGUGACGAGAUGGGACAAUGGUCUGUCAUGACCCACUGCCUCCCUCCAUGAACUGUCGUGACGGCACCUAGUGUCUACGGCUAGGUAAGCCUAACACUUUGCGGAAAUGAAACAAAAGCAUGAACAUUAACUACUAACAGUAACAAAUAUCUAAUAAGCAACUAAUUGCCACUCGGCAUAUACCAUUAUCACCUCUGAAAAAGUACAAAAAGCAUUCCCAAAACCCGGAAACCCGCAAGUCACAAGCUGCUAAGAAGUCUUAACUGUUCUAUACAUCUUUUCUACAGAUAGAGGAAAAAUGUACAUAGGGGGAUAGAGGGGGACUCCGAGGAUCUGCGGGCUCGAGCAUAUGUACCUUGAAGUCUCCAACAAAGCAGCAACUGCAACUAGUGAUGAGGCUGGUAAGAUAAACCUAGAUCUGCACACGAAAAAUAUGUGCAGUAAAGGACGUGAGUACACCAUAACGGUACCCAGUAAGUGCCAAGUCUAACCUCGGUCGAGUAGCGACGAGAUCAGGUCAGGGACCUACUAGUAUAAAUAUAAUGAAAUAAGACAAAAUGAAAUAUCACAGUAAAAAUAAAUACGAAAAUCUAACAGGACUAGAAUCAAUGAAAGUCAACAGCUCAGAACACAGUGAUAACAACAGGGGAUCUCCCGAGAUACCAUCUCGUAGUCCCAAACAUAAAUGUUCAGGGGGAAUCUCCUAGAAAAUUAUUUCGUAGUCCCAAAGUAAAUAUGCAGUACAGGGAGAUCUCCCGGAAUACCAUUCUGUAGUCCCAAAGUAAAUAUGCAGUGGAACGAAUCGAAAUAACAGUUACAACAAGAAAUCUUACAGUUUAGACUAAGUUCAAGUCAAGGAAAACAGGAGAUUUCACUAAACAUGCUGCACAGAGUUCAAAUAGGCAAUUAAACAAGUAGGCAUGCUAUUCUAGCCUAAACAUGAUAGUUACAUAUGCUAGUGUGUUUCAAAUAAGGAGAAAGCAAGUUAUGACUUAGUUAAAAAUGGAGUUUUACAACAAAUAGCACGUGUUCGUACUCGUCCCCUCACGUACACGGCGCUCACAUAUCAAACAGUAGCAAAUCCUAAGGGGAAUUCCCCCACGCAAGGUUAGGCAAGCCACUUACCUCGAACCAAGCUCAAUCAAUCAGUCACAAUGCCUUUCCCACAAAUAUCCGGCUCCGAGUGGCCCAAAUCUAGAAAAAAUCAAUUACAUAACAUAAAUAUAGCUACAAGAAAUUAAUCUAGCUAACGAAAUCAAAGCUACAACAAGAAAUUAGAAAAACGCCCAAAAAGUCUCCCCGGGCCCACGUCUCGAAAUUGGGUAAAAGUCACAAAAUACAAUCACUCAUUCACUCACGAGUCUAACCAUACCAAAUUCACUCAAAUUCGAUACCAAAAUCUCGAUCAAAACCCCAAAAUUUGGUCUAAGAACUUUUCUCAAUUUUUCCAAUUUUUCACCCCAAAUCCGAAAUUAAAUGAUAAAAUUAAUGAUAGAUUAGUGGGUUAUAACCAUAAACGAGUUAGGAAUCAUUACCCAAUGAUAUGAACUCAAAACCCUCAUUUUUGAACUUUAAAUUCUGGCAAGGUAUGCCCUACUUCGCGAACGCGGUCAAAGCCUCGCGUUCGCGAAGCACAAGCUGCUUCAGACCAAAAAUAUUCUCAUCGUGAACGCGAUGCACUGGUCGCGAACGCGAAGCUCAACUAGCCUGACCCAACGUGAAUGCGGGACACUCAUCGCAAACGCGCAGGCUAACACGCCUGGAACCCAUCUGACCGUUGACUCUACGCGAACGCGGGAACGACAUCGCGAACAUGAAGAACAACUCAGCUGCCUUUCCCAGAUGCUCUAUGCGAUCGCGAGACCUCUCUCGCAAACGCGAUGAAUGAUUGUCUGCAACAAAAACACCAGAAAUUUGCUAUCUUUCAAGUCCAAAAACUAGUCCGUUAAGCACCCGAAACUCACCCGAAGCCCCCGGAACCUCAACCAAACAUACUAACCAAUCUUAAAAUACCAUACAAACUUAGUCGAGCCCUCAAAUCACAUCAAACAACGCUUAAAUCACGAAUCACCCUCCAAUUCAAACUUAGAGAACUUGAAACUUCAAAAAUUCUACACCCGAUGCCGAAACCUAUCAAACCACAUCUGAUUGACCCCAAAUUGUGCACACAAGUCAUAAUCAACACUACGGACCUACUCCAACUUCCGGAAUCGGACUCCGACCCCGAGAUCAAAAUUUUCACUACCGGUCCAAAAUUCUAAAAAUUCGACUUUCACCAAUUCAAGCCUAAAUAAGCUACGGACCUCCAAAACACAAUCUGGACACACCCCUAAGUCCAAAAUCACCUAACAGAGCUAACAGAACAAACAUAAGUCCAUUUCGGAGUCAUCUUCACACAGUUCUAACUACGGUGCCAAUCCUAAGGCUUAAACCUCCAUUUAGGGACUAAGUGUCCCAAACACUUCCAAAAACCAAAAUGAAACAUACCGGCAAGUCACAAUAGCAGAAAAAGAUACGGGGGAAGCAAUUAAAUAGGGGAUCGGAGCUAUAACUCUCAAGAUGACCGGCCGGGUCGUCACAGGGUCAGGGUCCAACUCCAAUAACCAGCAACAAUUCAUAACAAUAUAAUAAAGAUGGUACAAGAAAUAACUUAGCUGGUUCACAGUUACGGAUAUUAGGCAUGCUUUUCAAGUAUAACAAUAGACCCCAGAUCUUUCACCGAAAACCUCAAAAAUAUAUGAAUAAGUUUGAAAACUGUGAUUUUCCAAAAAACCUUUCAACAAUAAAUCAGAUGUUUCAUAUUCAGAUAGAAAGAGGAGAAUACAUAUCUAUUCAUACAUGUCAAUAUACAGGUGAAAUCAUGAAUGUCACCAAUACCGGUUAGCAUGAGGAAAUGCAUCUAUAUGCAUGUAUCUCGAGUACGUAUGUCAAAUGCAAUGCAUCUCAAUGAUAAACUCAUGUACUCACACUCUCAGAGUACUAAAUCUCACUAUCUCGUAUUCUCUCUCACCAUGCUCAAUACUCAGCACGCUUAGUCACUCAACACUGUACAAUACCUGCUGCGGCAUGUAGCCCGAUUCACAUAUAGCCAUAAGGCAUGUUGCGGCGUGCAACUCGAUCCAUAUAUAUAUAUAUAUAUAUAGCCAUAAGGCUUGUUGCGGCGUGCAACUUGAUCCACACAUAUAUAUAGCCAUAAGGUUUGUUGCGGCGUGCAAUCCGAUCCAUUUAUAUAUAUAGCCAUAAAGCUUNNNNNNNNNNNNNNNNNNNNNNNNNNNNNNNNNNNNNNNNNNNNNNNNNNNNNNNNNNNNNNNNNNNNNNNNNNNNNNNNNNNNNNNNNNNNNNNNNNNNNNNNNNNNNNNNNNNNNNNNNNNNNNNNNNNNNNNNNNNNNNNNNNNNNNNNNNNNNNNNNNNNNNNNNNNNNNNNNNNNNNNNNNNNNNNNNNNNNNNNNNNNNNNNNNNNNNNNNNNNNNNNNNNNNNNNNNNNNNNNNNNNNNNNNNNNNNNNNNNNNNNNNNNNNNNNNNNNNNNNNNNNNNNNNNNNNNNNNNNNNNNNNNNNNNNNNNNNNNNNNNNNNNNNNNNNNNNNNNNNNNNNNNNNNNNNNNNNNNNNNNNNNNNNNNNNNNNNNNNNNNNNNNNNNNNNNNNNNNNNNNNNNNNNNNNNNNNNNNNNNNNNNNNNNNNNNNNNNNNNNNNNNNNNNNNNNNNNNNNNNNNNNNNNNNNNNNNNNNNNNNNNNNNNNNNNNNNNNNNNNNNNNNNNNNNNNNNNNNNNNNNNNNNNNNNNNNNNNNNNNNNNNNNNNNNNNNNNNNNNNNNNNNNNNNNNNNNNNNNNNNNNNNNNNNNNNNNNNNNNNNNNNNNNNNNNNNNNNNNNNNNNNNNNNNNNNNNNNNNNNNNNNNNNNNNNNNNNNNNNNNNNNNNNNNNNNNNNNNNNNNNNNNNNNNNNNNNNNNNNNNNNNNNNNNNNNNNNNNNNNNNNNNNNNNNNNNNNNNNNNNNNNNNNNNNNNNNNNNNNNNNNNNNNNNNNNNNNNNNNNNNNNNNNNNNNNNNNNNNNNNNNNNNNNNNNNNNNNNNNNNNNNNNNNNNNNNNNNNNNNNNNNNNNNNNNNNNNNNNNNNNNNNNNNNNNNNNNNNNNNNNNNNNNNNNNNNNNNNNNNNNNNNNNNNNNNNNNNNNNNNNNNNNNNNNNNNNNNNNNNNNNNNNNNNNNNNNNNNNNNNNNNNNNNNNNNAAAUCAACCCAAAAGUCCAACCCGGGACCGCACCUCAGAACUCGAUGAAACUUAUAAUAUCCGGCAACCCAUUCAAUUACGAGUCCAACCAUACUAGUUUUACCUAAAUCCAACUCUGAAUCGAUGUUCAAAACUCAAAAACUCACUCUAUAAAACAUUAGGCUAAAACCCCCAAUUUAUCUUUAAAAAUUCAUAAUCCAAUUACUAAAAACGAAGAUAGAAUCACGAAAUAUAAUCAAAACUGAAUUAAGAACAUUUACCCCAAUUCGUGUGGUGAAAUUCCCCUCCUUGAUCGCCCAACCGGGCUUCAAAAUCCCAAAAUGAGUAAAAAGUCGAACCCACGAACAUGAAGGAUCUGUCCAGGUCUCAUCGCACCUGCAACAACAGGCUCCACUCCUGCGCAAUCGUAGGUGCGAACCAGCUUCAUGCACCCGCGCUGCCUCACGCUUCUGUGCCCAUUUUCCCCACAUUUGCGAAGUCGCAGAUGCGACUCAAAUUCCGCACAUGCGAUGGCUCAAAGCCCAGUCCUCUUUCGCUUAUGCGAUGACACUGCCGCUUUUGCGGCUCUGCACCUGUGCCCAAAGCUCCGCAGGUGCGGUCACACCAGAACCUCAGCUAAACCAGCCUCAUCCAAAAUUUCAAAAAUAAUCUGAACCUCGUCCAAAACUCACUCGACCCCUUGGGACCCCGUCUGAAUAUACCAACAUGAUCCAUAACAUAACACGAAACUACUCGAGGUCUCAAGUCACACAUAACAAUAUCGAAAUGAUUAAUCGCACCUCAAAUCAAUCUUAAAUGAACUUUCAACUUUCAACUUCCAAACUUACGUCGAAACAUAUCAAAUCAACCCAGAAUGAACUCAAAUUUUGUACACAAGUCCCAAAUGACAUAACGAAGCUAUUCCAAUUCCCGGAAUCACAAUCUGAAUCCGAUUUCCACAAGGUCAACUCUCGGUAAAAUUUAUGAACUUUCCAAUCCUUCAAAUUUCCAAUUUUCGCCAAUUAGUGCCGAAUUCUUCUAGAAAUAUCCAAAUGCAAAUACCGGCAUGUGCCCAAGUCCAAAAUCGCCAUCCAGACCUAACAGAACCAUCAAAACUCCGUUCCGGGGUCAAAUUCACCAAAAUCAAACUUGGUCAACUCUUCCAACUUAAUGCUUCAACGAUGAAAUUCAUUCUUCCAAAUCAAACUCCGGAUCACCUGAAAACCAAAACCGACGAUACACACCAGUCAUAAUAUAUCAUACGGAGCUACUCAUAUCCCCAAACUACCGAGCGAAAUGCAAAUGCUCAAAACGACCGAUCGGGUCGUUACACCAUCUAUCCCCCACUUCAAUGCUUCGCCGGCAAUAGUUCGGUAGCCAUGGCUGAGCACCAUCGACAAACCCAUUGUUUCAUUAUUUUUAUUGUAUUGUUUUCACUUUAUUCUUUCUUUUAUUGGAAAACAGACCUAAAAGAAACUUGAAUCUUGGCUG